UCCCCCCCCCCUCUGAUUCGAAUUCCCCCCCCCCCCCACCCCACGUUCUCCCUUCGUGCCAUCGCCCCUCCGCCCGCCUUCACCCACGACAUUCAAGUCAUAUUUUUUCAACUUGCAGUACGUCAGCCACAAUCUAGUGCUGCUGACAACUCCGAUUGACCGAACAAACUCACACCCAAGUUCUCUCUCUCUCUCUCACUGUACAUGGCUGGGUUAUUUUUACACUUAUUUUACAUAUCUCCUCUUCUUUCUUCUGUGUUUGUGUUUGUUUGUACAUGGCUGAGUUGUUAUCGUGAACAUGUUAGAUUUUAUAUGGUCCAACUCUGUCUUCUUAAUUUGGGUUUUUCUCAAAUACAAAACAAUGUAAUUUCAUGACGUAGAAUUCUUGGUACUGAGUUGGGACUUCAUGGGGGACUUUGGGUUCGAUUUCAUGGGAUGAAGAAGGGGAAGGAAGGACGAAAGUGUUGAGGAGCAGAAAGAAGAAGAGAACGGUGCAGAUCAAGUACUUCAAGUUCUGGUUCAAACCCAUGAGAGAGGAAAUAGUUUGGGGGAUAUUAUGAUCCAAAAAAUUUAUACUACCCAUCAUUUAUGAUGCAUCCAAAUGCAUAUCCAAAUUCAUAUACAUACGCAUGGGGUAGCUAGCCUCCAUCAAUGCCACCUUUUGGAACAACGAUCCUCUACCCUCCGUCAAGUAAUGCAGAGGAAGGUUCUGCAUGUGGAAAAUGCUGAGACUAAGAGAAAGAAGAAGGUUGCCAACAAAAAGGAAGGUUCCGCCUGUGAAGAAGGUUGCGACCAAGAGAAAGAAGAAAUAGGUAAGAAAUUUUUUUCAUAUUAAUUUUAUAUUUAUUCAACUGCAUAUAUAUUUCUUUCUAAUGGAUGUGUAUUUUUGUAACACCUGAACUCAACCAAGCUCAAUUUUUAAAUAGUUUUGGGCUUAUGCGUA
This is a long non-coding RNA of Juglans microcarpa x Juglans regia, 943 nucleotides long. RefSeq lists it as uncharacterized. NCBI's taxonomy places the organism in Eukaryota, Viridiplantae, Streptophyta, Magnoliopsida, Fagales, Juglandaceae. The transcript is spliced from 3 exons. The record is from RefSeq and is a predicted model, not a curated record.